Non-coding RNA from Aedes albopictus (Asian tiger mosquito), 58 nucleotides. NCBI's taxonomy places the organism in Eukaryota, Metazoa, Arthropoda, Insecta, Diptera, Culicidae. The record is from Rfam.
UAGCCUAGUGGUUAAGGCUAUGGAUGGCCAAUCCGGAAACGGCGGGUUCGAUUCCCGU